CUGGUCCAAGCAGGGGCCACCGACUGCGCCGAGCCAGCCCAUCUCUCCAGCCCCUGGCACACAGACACCUAUUUUAUGGUUGCACGGACACUUUUGCCUUCCAGAGGCUCUGCACCUUCGCCUGCUGCACAUACAGAAACACAGAAGGGCCCAUACAGGAUGGUUUCCUGCUGUACUUCUGCUGGUCUAGAGGCUUCGGGUUUUGAGAUUUUGUGUCGUUUCCCCCUCUCCCAGCCUAUGUCUGUCUUGUCUACUUAAGCUGUCUGGGGGACGCCUUGGGGUCCCAGAUGAAAUCCUGACCCCAUUGUGUUAAGUGGAAACUGAAUGCUCUUCCCUGUGUUACUGAGACCAAUGUAUGGGACUUGAGUGACCCGAAGAAGUGAGGUUUUUACUCACGAAAGCUUAUGCCCAAAUAAAUCUGUUAGUCUUUAAGGUGC
This is a long non-coding RNA of Malaclemys terrapin pileata, 437 nucleotides long. RefSeq lists it as uncharacterized. Lineage: Eukaryota; Metazoa; Chordata; Testudines; Emydidae. The record is from RefSeq and is a predicted model, not a curated record. The transcript is spliced from 3 exons.